RNAcentral lists this ribosomal RNA (253 nucleotides) under uncultured bacterium. RNAcentral's name for it is "partial 16S ribosomal RNA". It matches the Rfam family "Bacterial small subunit ribosomal RNA", at positions 524 to 776 of the family's 1533-position model. The record is from RNAcentral.
UACAGAGGGGGCUAGCGUUGUUCGGAAUUACUGGGCGUACAGCGCGCGCAGGCGGCCGCGUAUGUGACCGGUGACAUCCUCGGGCUCAACCCGAGGCGGCCCGGUUAGACAGCGUAGCUGGAGGCAGGGAGAGGGAAGCGGAAUUCCUGGUGUAGAGGUGAAAUUCGUAGAUAUCAGGAGGAACAUCAGCGGCGAAGGCGGCUUCCUGGCUCAUUACUGACGUUCAGGUACGAAAGCGUGGGUAGCAAACAGG